UAAAAUCCCAAAACUCGAUUAUUUAAAUUUUUGGAUCGUUUGACGCUAAAAUCGAUAUUGCGAUCAAAAUUCGAUUAAUCGCCCAGCCCUACGGUGUGGUCACAGGCUGUGGGUUAAAGCCUGACUUAUAGGUGUCGUCACAGGUUGUGGUGUUGAGGCCUGAUGGUGUAGGUGUAGUCACAGGUUGUGGUGUUGAGGCCUGAUGGUGUAGGUGUAGUCACAGGUUGUGGUGUUGAGGCCUGAUGGUGUAGGGGUAUCCACAGGCUGUGGUGUUUAAGGCUCACCGAUGUACAGGUUGGACUUGUAUUCCACGUUAUGGUUCUUAACAGCCAUGUCCUGAGCUUCUAGAAGCACCUAGAGAUGAAGAC
This is a long non-coding RNA of Gadus macrocephalus (Pacific cod), 368 nucleotides long. RefSeq lists it as uncharacterized. NCBI's taxonomy places the organism in Eukaryota, Metazoa, Chordata, Actinopteri, Gadiformes, Gadidae. The transcript has 3 exons. The record is from RefSeq and is a predicted model, not a curated record.